Chlorocebus sabaeus (green monkey) is the source of this 928-nucleotide non-coding RNA. NCBI's taxonomy places the organism in Eukaryota, Metazoa, Chordata, Mammalia, Primates, Cercopithecidae. The record is from RefSeq and is a predicted model, not a curated record.
CGUCACCACGCCCGGCUAAUUUUUGUAUUUUUAGUUGAGACGAGAGUUCACCAUCUUGGCCAGGCUGGUCUCGAACUCCGGCCUCCCAAAGUGCUGGGAUUAUAGGUGUGAGGCACCGCAUACAGCCUAAGGGACUGUUUUCUGACUGACAGACACAGACGACCUCACUCAGCACCCGACAACCAACACAAACACACUAGGGUGCGUGCCGGACCCCAAGAAAAUACCCCUCUGGGGACUGCAGCCUCGUUAUUGUUCGUGACCAAUUGGAGUCCCGCAGGCGCCAUUUCCCCGCCGCUUGGUUCGGUCGAGCCACUUCGUUGGUGGCUCAGGCAGCAGUAACGUAUCGCGCUUGCUCAGUAGCCAAUAAGAAACAUGCCGGCCCCCUCCGCCCCCUGGGACCUCCUAGACCGGCCGACCUAUCUAUGCCCAGCCCGAAGCAGCAUCCUCCGGAUCCUUCGGGUUCUUUCGGAAGUUUCCCUCCAGGGUAAAGUCGCGUUCGCUCUCCCAGCAACACAUUUUUUCUGCCCGACUCGCGCGUGCGCACUGACAGGCUUAGGACGGCCCUGAAAUGAAAACAUCUUGAGAGAGGAGGAGGGACCCUAAGCCGCUGCCUGACCGGUCACUGGGGAUACCCACACAACCCGAGGUGGCCGCUGCCGGAAGCGGUCCCCAAAACAGGAAUUGUAGGACCAAAAGGAGGUGCCUCAGAAGCGGUGUUUUGGCCAAGCGGGAAGGGAAGCGGACUGGCAAGUGGGGGACAACGGUUCAAACCCCAGGCGCCCCAGGGACGCGGGAACGGAGACUUUGAAAUUGCGCCGGCAGCCUGACCCCGUCGGUGCGAGUCCUACUGUUUCACGUGGCUAGAGCUCUCAAGGAAAACCGUCCCAAAGUUUCGCCUCCACUUGCUUGUGUGCCUAAUUAAAAA